This is a long non-coding RNA of Papaver somniferum (opium poppy), 1107 nucleotides long. RefSeq lists it as uncharacterized. The record is from RefSeq and is a predicted model, not a curated record. NCBI's taxonomy places the organism in Eukaryota, Viridiplantae, Streptophyta, Magnoliopsida, Ranunculales, Papaveraceae. The transcript has 3 exons.
CUUCUUCUCUUUCUUCUGUUCUUCAUGUCUUUCUCCCUGUUGAACUCAAAUCCAGUGAAUAGCUUUUUUUUGGUGAGGGAUUCAUGUAAAUCUUGAGAUCCAGAUAAAUCGAGAAGAGGGUGAUCAAUCUGGAAGCUAAUUGAGCUCCGAAAGAAGAAGAAAUCACAAGAAAUGGAAAUUAGGGUUUCCGCUAGAAUUGAAUAAGUUGUAUAUUUGGAAGAGGGGUUCGAUUUAUAAAAUGCAAACGGAGAUUAGAGAUGGGUAUUGUUUUUGAGAGUAAGGGAGGAGAUUUAGCUCCUGAUUCUCUACUCACACGGAAGAAUUAGUGAAUUAGGGUUUUAUGAGAACCAGUGAUAGUGAAAGAACUGAGUUUCCAAGAUAAAAGUUACUGAUAAUUAAAUCUGGGUCUGUUUUUCGUUUCGAUGUUGUUCUGUAGUAGGGCAUUUCUGGGUUCGAUUCAAAUCAGUGGAAGAGCCAUGGGUUCGAUUCAAGUUGAUACACAUUGAAUCACCACCAAGCUUGCGAAGAUUCAAGAGGGGGAAAUUUGUGGUAUUAGUAGUUAAUGUCCUUUAUUCUAGAGUGAAAAAAAUGGGGCUACUGUUGGAAAGAAAUCGAUCUUUGAGAGUGUGCUCAGGAUGCAUUGUACAUAUUGUGCUCAGUAUCUUCCUAACACUCUCCUACAAUCUUUGGUGGUGGUGGUGGUUGUGGACCUGUGGUGGAUGAAACUUUGAGAAAGGAAAGAGAAAAAGCAGUCGUGGACUUCUUUGUAAGUGACUGUUAUUAACUCCUUAGAUUCUUUGACAUGAUUCCUUCGCUGAUGGAUCGUCUGCAGCUUUGCGGACUUCGCUGUCAUCCACUGUAUGAAUUGGAACUACUUCAGGAUCAGCAUCUGAGGAUGUUUUCUUUUCUUUUUAUUUUCCUUGAGUCUUCUCUGACAUCUUGUCAGUGGGAGUCUUGAGAUAAUCGAAUAGCUCUUUCUGUGUAGUAGCCAUAUCGGUUUGAUUCUGUGCAAGGGUCUCUUGCACUUUGAUGAGAUCAGCAAUGGUAGGUGGUGGAUUUCCUCUGACUUCCUCGGGGUGUCGGCCGAACAAAGGAUGACCCUCCGCG